AGAGUUUGAUCCUGGCUCAGGACGAACGCUGGCGGCGUGGAUUAGGCAUGCAAGUCGCGCGACGAACCUUCGGGUUACGGAGCGGCGAACGGGUGAGUAACACGUGAACAAUCUGUCCCUACAUUCCGGAUAAUUGGCCGAAAGGCCUUGUAAUACGGGGGAGGAUGGUGGUGAGGCAUCUCACUAUCAGGGAAGGUGCAACGCAAGUUGUGCCGUGCAGGGAGGGGUUCGCGGCCUAUCAGUUAGUUGGUGGGGUAACGGCCUACCAAGACGACGACGGGUAGCUGGUCUGAGAGGAUGGUCAGCCACAUUGGAACUGAGACACUGUCCAGACUCCUACGGGAGGCUGCAGUCGAGAAUCUUGGGCAAUGCACGAAAGUGUGACCCAGCGACGCCGCGUGGAGGAUGAAGGCCCUUGGGUUGUAAACUCCUUUUAUGGAAGAAGAACGUCCCUUCGGGGACUUGACGGUACUCCAUGAAUAAGCCACGGCUAACUACGUGCCAGCAGCCGCGGUAAUACGUAGGUGGCAAGCGUUGUCCGGAUUUACUGGGCGUAAAGCGUGUGUAGGCGGACCUUUAAGUAGAAAGUGAAAGGUAGGAGCUCAACUCCUACAUUGCUCUCUAUACUGGAGGUCUUGAGUGUCGGAGAGGAAGAUGGAACUGCACGUGUAGCGGUGAAAUGCGUUGAGAUGUGCAGGAACACCAAUGGCGAAGGCAAUCUUCUGGACGAAAACUGACGCUGAGACACGAAAGCCAAGGUAGCAAACAGGAUUAGAUACCCUGGUAGUCC
This 790-nucleotide ribosomal RNA is filed under the name uncultured bacterium. Its description in RNAcentral is "bacterial SSU rRNA". It matches the Rfam family "Bacterial small subunit ribosomal RNA", at positions 8 to 796 of the family's 1533-position model. The record is from RNAcentral.